CUGUCAGGUUCUGUAAGGUUCUGUGUGUGUAAGGUUCUGUUACUGUCAGGUUCUGUAAGGUUCUGUGUGUGUAAGGUUCUGUUACUGUCAGGUUCUGUAAGGUUCUG
Long non-coding RNA from Austrofundulus limnaeus, 107 nucleotides. RefSeq lists it as uncharacterized. NCBI's taxonomy places the organism in Eukaryota, Metazoa, Chordata, Actinopteri, Cyprinodontiformes, Rivulidae. The transcript is spliced from 3 exons. The record is from RefSeq and is a predicted model, not a curated record.